ACAGUCAGGGCCAGGGAGGAGCAGAAUCCUCAGAGGAAGAUGUGGAUCCUCUCCCAGACAGCCGGGAGGCAGGUGGGACACAGGGAGGAGCAGAUCCUCACUCAGACAAAGAUGGGGAUCCUGCCCUGGGUGGAGGGAGGAGCAGCAUCCUCACUCAGCCAAAGAUGGGGAUCCUCUUGGGACGGCCUGGAGGCAGAUGGGGCACAGGGAGGAGCAGAAUCCUCAGAGGAAGACGCGGAUCCUCCCUCAGACAAAGAUGUGGAUCCUCCCUCAAAGAUGUGGAUCCUCCCUCAGACAAAGAGGCGGAUCCUCCCUCAGACGAAGAUGUGGAUCCUCCCUCAGACGAAGAUGUGGAUCCUCCCUCAGAGGAAGAGGCGGAUCCUCCCUCAGACGAAGAUGUGGAUCCUCCCUCAAAGAUGCAGAUCCUCCCUCAGACGAAGAUGUGGAUCCUCUCGCGGAUGGCCUGGCGGCAGAUGGGGCACACGGUCAGCGCCGUGCUGCAGUCCGGGCAGGAGCCGUGCCCGCACUGGAACACCAGCUUGAUCUGGUCGUCGAUGCAGAUGGGGCAGGUGAUCCUCUCCUCCAUCUGCCGGUA
Molecule: long non-coding RNA, 595 nt
Filed under: Zonotrichia albicollis (white-throated sparrow)
Lineage: Eukaryota; Metazoa; Chordata; Aves; Passeriformes; Passerellidae
Description: lncRNA (ENSZALG00000001027.1)
Source: RNAcentral